RNAcentral lists this ribosomal RNA (253 nucleotides) under uncultured bacterium. RNAcentral's name for it is "partial 16S ribosomal RNA". It matches the Rfam family "Bacterial small subunit ribosomal RNA", at positions 524 to 776 of the family's 1533-position model. The record is from RNAcentral.
UACGUAGGAUGCAAGCGUUGUCCGGAUUUACUGGGCGUAAAGGGCGCGCAGGCGGCUAUGUAAGUCUCACGUGAAAGCCCUCGGCCUAACCGGGGGGGUUCGUGAGAGACUGCAUAGCUAGAGUACAGCAGAGGAGAGCGGAAUUCCCGGUGUAGGGGUGAAAUGCGUAGAUAUCGGGAGGAACACGAGUGGCGAAAGCGGCUUGCUGGGAUGAAACUGACGCUGAGGCGCGAAAGCGUGGGGAGCAAACAGG